CAGUCGCCACGGGAAAACCAGCAGCCCAAGUGGUGGUCGCGCUUAUUGGGCCUAAAGCGCUCGUAGCCUGGCCGGUAAGUUCCCCGUGAAAUCGGGUCGCCCAACGAUUCGGCUUGCGGGGAAUACUGUCGGUCUUGGGGCCGGGAGACGCCGAGGGUACUCCGGGGGUAGCGGUGAAAUGCUGUAAUCCUCGGGGGACUACCAGUGGCGAAGGCGCUCGGCGAUAACGGGCCUGACGGUGAGGGGCGAAAGCUGGGGGCGCGAACGGGAUUAGAUACCCCCGUAGUCCCUGUCUCUUAUU
RNAcentral lists this ribosomal RNA (301 nucleotides) under uncultured bacterium. RNAcentral describes it as "partial 16S ribosomal RNA". It matches the Rfam family "Archaeal small subunit ribosomal RNA", at positions 459 to 759 of the family's 1478-position model. The record is from RNAcentral.